UUUAUUAUUAUUAUUAUUAUUAUUAUUAUUAUUAUGGGCAAUUAUUUAUAUAUUUUUGAAAGGGUCCAUUGCAUACAGAUCCUCGCAAAUAUAGUGAAUUACAUAUAUAUUUCUGUAAAGUUUAACUUUUAUAAGUUAUCUCUAUAAAAGUUCUAAUGUUUUCAAUUAUGUUCCAAUCAUUAGAAUCCGUUAAAAAAGUUUAGUUAAUCAUAAUUCAUAGAUUAAAUACUUUAUCCGAAUUAAUUUUUGACAUUUUUAUCUCUCUUAAAUUAUAUUGUUGUAACUUUUAGAGGGACAUAUUUAUAAUAGUAAAAUUAAAAAUAUAAACAGUUUUCUAAUGAUUCUCUAGCAGUAACAAACUAGAGGGACAUAUUUGAAAAUAUUAGGACAGAGCUAAAAAAUAUAUUAUUUUUUUUAUUUUUUCAAAUAUAAUAUUUUAUCAUUAAAAUUUUUCUUAUUUGUUCUUAAGUUAAGGACAAAAUCGAUAUUUUAAUUUUUUUGGAUAAACUUCAAAUGUCACUCCUAUAGUUUUAUACUUCUCACUUUAGUACCCUGUAAUUUAAAUUGUAUCAAUUUAGUAUCCUGUGAUUUUAUUUUUUUUUCUUUUGUCAGCUAUUCGUUAACAUUUCGUUAAAUUAUAUAGAAAAAUUUUCAGAUACCCCACUUAGAUUUAUCGAAUAUUUACUUUAGUAUUUUUUAGUUUUAAUUUUAUUACUAAUUCAAAGAAAAAAAAUUAGUGGAGGAAAUAAUAAAAAAUAAAAUCAUGGAGUGCUAAAUUGAUACACUUUGCUUCGUUUGGGAUUGCGGGAGAUUGCGUUACGUGCGGUGAGAAACGACGAUGGAAAAAUACUAUGUUUGUUUCCGUAUGUAAUAUUGUAUUCCGCAUAUUGCGGUUAGUCGGUUACGAUAUAUUUUCUGCGGUCCCAUCAGAGAACGUAGAAGUAUAUCUCUAUAUACUUUUUCUUAACUCCAUUCUAUCUAAUAGUGUUAGAUAAACCUCAAUAUCAAACUAAGUCUUAAACUAUAGGGUACUAAAAUAAAAAAAAAAUCUGAAAAAAUUUUAAAAUUUGAAAAUUGAAAUUAAAAUUUUGAAAUUUUAAUUUUCCUAUAUACCUAUAGGGAAAAUUUUGAAAAUUGAAAUUAAAAUAUCCCUAUAUACUUUUUUUCUUUUUUAAAAUUUUGAUAGAAUUUUUAACCCGCAAUAU
RNAcentral lists this long non-coding RNA (1205 nucleotides) under Ananas comosus (pineapple). RNAcentral's name for it is "long non-coding RNA (ACOM_LNC026360)". The record is from RNAcentral. Lineage: Eukaryota; Viridiplantae; Streptophyta; Magnoliopsida; Poales; Bromeliaceae.